Molecule: long non-coding RNA, 605 nt
Filed under: Elaeis guineensis (African oil palm)
Lineage: Eukaryota; Viridiplantae; Streptophyta; Magnoliopsida; Arecales; Arecaceae
Description: long non-coding RNA (EGUI_LNC080686)
Source: RNAcentral
UUGUUGUGAUCUUUGAUUAUUCUGAGUUCUAGGAUUAACCUCGGAUUGAUUUGGUAGUUUAUCUUUUUUUCUUUCACUCACAGUCGUGGCUAAUUGACCUAACUGCAUCUCUAAAUGGGCAAUAGCCUGGGUGUUGAAAGUUAAAAGUUAGCCUAUGGUCUGCAUGAAGUUAUUUAGUGUAGUGUUAGUGUUAGUAGUCGAUUUUACUAGGAUUUUUAGACUCUUUUCUAGCGAGUUAAGUCUUUAAUCAUUACUAAAACCUGAUGGGUUAUUUGAUGAUUGAGUAGAUCUGGGAUUGGGCUAAGUGAAGGUAGGUCUACUUGAGUUUGACUCUUGUGACCAAGAAAAAUUAGGAUGAUUCCUCCAUCCUAAAUUGUACAUUGGUGCGUAGGGGUUAUCUGUGGAUCUCUGAUAGGCUGCAUUCACAUGUGCUACUUCGUUCUCGAUUGGAUCCAUCAAAAAAAGGAUAUCCUUCCAUUGUGUGGUCUAUGGCAUUACACCCAUCACAAGUGGAUGUUGCAACUUGGUUCACUUGGGUGUGUCCUUUGAGUUCUAGGGCCUCUAUCCUAUAGAUCAAAGAUGCAAAUUUAGCCUUUUCAGCUAGG